GCAUAUCAAUAAGCGGAGGAAAAGAAACCAACCGGGAUUGCCUCAGUAACGGCGAGUGAAGCGGCAAGAGCUCAAAUUUGAAAGCUGGCCCCUUCGGGGUCCGCGUUGUAAUUUGCAGAGGAUGCUUUGGGUGCGGCCCCCGUCUAAGUGCCCUGGAACGGGCCGUCAGAGAGGGUGAGAAUCCCGUCUUGGGCGGGGUGUCCGUGCCCGUGUAAAGCUCCUUCGACGAGUCGAGUUGUUUGGGAAUGCAGCUCUAAAUGGGUGGUAAAUUUCAUCUAAAGCUAAAUACUGGCCGGAGACCGAUAGCGCACAAGUAGAGUGAUCGAAAGAUGAAAAGCACUUUGAAAAGAGAGUUAAACAGCACGUGAAAUUGUUGAAAGGGAAGCGCUUGCGACCAGACUCGCCCUCGGGGUUCAGCCGGCACUCGUGCCGGUGUACUUCCCCGGGGGCGGGCCAGCGUCAGCUUGGGCGGCCGGUCAAAGGCCUCCGGAAUGUAGUGCCCCCCGGGGCACCUUAUAGCCGGAGGUGCAAUGCGGCCAGCCUGGGCUGAGGAACGCGCUUCGGCACGGACGCUGGCAUAAUGGUCGCAAACGACCCGUCUUGAAACACGGACCAAGGAGUCUAACAUCUACGCGAGUGUUCGGGUGUCAAACCCGUACGCGCAGUGAAAGCAAACGGAGGUGGGAGCCCCCUCGCGGGGCGCACCAUCGACCGAUCCUGAUGUCUUCGGAUGGAUUUGAGUAAGAGCGUAAAUGUGGGGACCCGAAAGAUGGUGAACUAUGCCUGAAUAGGGCGAAGCCAGAGGAAACUCUGGUGGAGGCUCGCAGCGGUUCUGACGUGCAAAUCGAUCGUCAAAUUUGGGUAUAGGGGCGAAAGACUAAUCGAACCAUCUAGUAGCUGGUUCCUGCCGAA
This 912-nucleotide ribosomal RNA is filed under the name Aspergillus niger. RNAcentral's name for it is "LSU rRNA". It matches the Rfam family "Eukaryotic large subunit ribosomal RNA", at positions 38 to 965 of the family's 3401-position model. The record is from RNAcentral. Lineage: Eukaryota; Fungi; Ascomycota; Eurotiomycetes; Eurotiales; Aspergillaceae.